This 551-nucleotide small RNA is filed under the name Pan troglodytes (chimpanzee). RNAcentral's name for it is "processed transcript". The record is from RNAcentral. Lineage: Eukaryota; Metazoa; Chordata; Mammalia; Primates; Hominidae.
AUGCAAAUCUGCUGUGCAUCCAGAGAGCAAAGUGGGAUGAUCUGUCACUACACCUGCAGCACCACGCUCGGAGGACAGCUCCUGCCUGCAGCUUCCAGACCCAGGAAGCCUGAGGGGAAGGAAGGAAGUACGGGCGAAAUCAUCAGAUUGGCUUCCCAGAUUUGGGAAUCUGAAGCGGGCCCACAUCUUCCGGCCAACUUCCAUUGAACUUCCCAGCACUCGAAAGGGACCGAAAUGGAGAGCAAAGCACCACAGGCCUCUUUGUGGUUGCCCCUUUCUAAUGCUCCUCAAGACAACCUGCUAAUAUAAGCAAAGAGUAAAUGAAUGAGGAGAGCACCUCCUCAUGUCAGGAAGCCUAUGGAGUUAGAUCACCUGGAUUUGCUCAUUUCCUGGACAAAAACUGCCCUUUUAAUCUCAAUUUCCUAUUAAAGACUGGUUCAACAUUAUCAUUUCCCAGGGAGAGUCUUCAACUUGAAGUGAUCACUCAAUCACUAAAAGCCUCCAACUUGAAGUGAUUGCAAAACCACUGCAGCUGCACCUUUCUUAUGCAU